UGUCCUUCCUGCUCAUCCUCCCUGCGUGGGAGAGGUUCUGCCAAAAGGGUGACGUGGAUUGUCCCCUCCUCACCUCCCCAGAACUGCCACCAGCGUCCCCCCAGUGUGGGGAGCAGGACAGGACCAGCUCUGCCUGGGACGGGGCUCCUGGGGCACAGUGGGGUCACAGAGGGCCAGGACUGAAGGAGCCAGCAGAGAUUUCAGAGUGAAACCAGCCUGCAGAAGAAGGGAACAGCCAACAGCCAAACGCAGGAUCCAGGGCAGGGACACUCUGGGACUGGGGUCUCAGCCACACACAGCACCGCCCCACCAAGAACUCCACCAGCCCAGUUUCCACCCCUGUGAUUGGGGCCAGGAGUCAGGGAAAUCCCAAUCAGGGCCUUGUGGAGCAGCAGGGAAUUCUCCCAGAAGAUGCUGAGGACUGGCAGUGGCAGCAGGGGCUGACACAAACCAGGUGCUCCUUGUGCGUGACAGCCACAGGCGAUGGGCAAAGUCCGACAGCUGUGCCCAAAAUCCAGCCAGUCUGCUCCAAAUUCCAGCCAGUUCUGUCCAAAACUCAGCCAGUCUGCUACAAAAUAGUUACUCUGCUCCAAAACCCAGCCAACCUGCUCCCAAAUCCAAUCCCUCUGCUCCAACAUCCAGCUAGCCUGCUCCAAAAUCCAAUCCCUCUGCUCCCAAACCCAAUCCCUCUGCUCCCAAACCCAAUCCCUCUGCUCCAAAAUCCAAUCCCUCUGCUCCCAAACCCAAUCCCUCUGCUCCCAAAUCCAAUCCCUCUGCUCCAAAAUCCAAUCCCUCUGCUCCCAAUCCAAAUCCCUCUGCUCCCAAACCAAAUCCCUCUGCUCCCAGUUACCGCUGUCCCCCAGAACACAGCCAGGCAGCUCCGGUGGGAGCAGCUGCUGGCAGGGCCCUGACCCCAUUUCCCUUUGUUAGCCCUGCCCUUGGGAUCACAGAAUCAUGGAAUUGCUGAGGCUGGCAAGCCCCUGUGAGCCCCCUGAAUCCAGCCAGCACAGCCAAGGCCACCACUGACCCUGUCCCCAAGUGCCACAUCGGUGUGGUUGUCGCAUCCCCAAGUGCCACAUCGGUGUGGUUGUCACAUCCCCAAGUGCCACAUCAACGUGGCUGUCACAGCCCUCCAGGGGCAGCACUCCCCCCUGCCCUGAGCAGCUGUGCCAGGGCUGCACAGCCUUUCCCAGGAGCCUGUCCCACAGCCCUUCCCAGGAGUUUGUCCCACAGCCCUUCCCAGGAGUUUGUCCCACAGCCCUUCCCAGGAGUUUGUCCCUCAGCCCAUGGUGGCCUGUCCGUGGUCUGUCUGCGGUCUGUCCGUGGUCUGAGGCUGUGCCCCUCCUGCUGUGCCCCAUCCCCUGACCAGCCUCCCCCCGGUGCUGCCCUCAGCUUCUGCUGCCUGUGCCCCCAUUCUGGGGCCAGAGCAGCCUUCCCUCCCUUCCCAAGGCGAUCCUGGCUAUCCCAUUUUUAACCAUGGCCAGAGCAGCCUUCCCUCCCUUCCCGAGGCGAUCCUGGCUAUCCCAUUUUCAGCCGUGCCACAGGAGCCUUCCCUCCCUUCCCAAGGUGAUCCUGGCUAUCCCAUUUUCAGCCAUGGCCAGAGCAGCCUUCCCUCCCUUCCCGAGGUGAUCCUGGCUAUCCCAUUUUUAACAUGGCCAGAGCAGCCUUCCCUCCCUUCCCGAGGCGAUCCUGGCUAUCCCAUUUUUAACCAUGCCACAGGAGCCUUCCCUCCCUUCCCGAGGCGAUCCUGGCUAUCCCAUUUUCAGCCAUGCCAAAGGAACCUUCCAUCCCCUCCCGAGGCGAUCCUGGCUAUCCCAUUUUCAGCUGAGCCAAAGGAACCUUCCAUCCCUUCCAGAGGUGAUCCUGGCUAUCCCAUUUUCAGCCGUGGCACCUCCAGCCGAUGCCCUGAUGCGAGCAGCGCCCAGAGCUCGGUGCUCAGCUCCCCUCCACACGCAGCUGGCUGCCCUCCUGCUCCUGGGAGCGCUUCGGGAAGAGCUGGAGACGCGUUAGCUGCCCAGCAGGAGCACGGGCAGGGCCGGGACGGACAGAAGGAGCCGUUCCGGAGGCUGCAGCCCCGCCAGCUGUGGAAGCGCUUCCAGAAAACCGCUCUGCCCCUCUGCCAGGCCGCUCUGAUCCCAUGCUGUUGGGUCCCUGCUGACCUGCACCCCCUAAUCCGCGCACCUGAGCCAGCUGCUGACACCUGUGGGGUCCCCACCUGCACGGGCGAUGCUGCAGGUGAGGAGGUUUUAACCUGCCCUGCACGGGCGAUGCUGCAGGUGAGGAGCUGCGGAGCAGGGCAGGUUAAAACCUGGCGGAAUCAGCCACACAGACGGAUCCGGGCCCUCAGAGCCCCUGCACAGCCGUGCUCCAACAGAUGGAACAGCGGGAAGAUGUUUGCCAGAUCCACGGAGCCGCUUUGGCACCUAAACCUUCAACCUCGAGCUGUGCAACAACACAUGACAUCAUCACACCCCGGCCCCAUCCAUCAAAGGCGGAUAAAAAUAGGCGCACGCCGAGAGGGGCCUCCCGGCAGCGAGAGGGGAAGGGAGGCAGGGAGCGUCCCCCAGCCCCGGCACCCCCCAGCCCCACGGAGCCAGCUCGGGGUCAGGGCUGGGGGUCCCAGCUCCUCCCGGGGUGACGGUCCCACUGUGCCCCCAACCCUGCAGAGCUGCCAGAAGGGAUAAAAGCAGACUGACCUCCCGACAGGGGCUUGGGAGCGCCCAUGGGUGCUGCCAGCUCGCAGUCAGAGCAUCUUCAGGGGGAUCCCUAGCUGGGACCCGGGUUAAAUGACACCAGGAGCUGCAGGAGGGGUGCACAUCCCUGGGGGAUCACCCCUGGGGGGACACCCCCAGGUCUGGCGUUUCAGCCCCCCUGCACCCGCCAGCCCUGCAGGCUCAGCAGCACCCUGAGCUCCGGAGGUUCCGGUCUGAGCCCAGCCCUGGAGGGGGUCCAGGGUGCCUGGGGACGGGGGGACAGGGGUGACAGAGGUGACAGAGGUGACAGGAGCCCCAGCUCCACCCUCCGAGCGCCGCCUGCCCAGGGCCGUGCAGACAGAACUCGCCCCCAGCAGCAAAUCCUGCCUGCCUGGCCUCCCACACGCCACAAUCCUGGAUGGAAACCAAAACCUGGACCUUUACACCCAUAAUCUCACUGCUGAGAUCCUCCAGCUCCUCAGGCAGGGCUCCGGCCUGCUCCUGUGCUCGGGGCAGCCAGGAAGGAGCUGGGGAAGGACAGGUUGGUGGCAGCACAGCCAGGUGAGCUCCCUGCCAGCAGCAUUCCCUGCUGGAGCCCUGGUGCCAGAGGCACUGAACCUUCCCAGGCUCCCUGACUGCAAACUGUGGUGUGAGAAGGUGAGACCAGGCAGGGGGACAACCUGAGAGGGGCUGGCAGAGGGAAAGGACAGAGUCUGGCACUAAAGGUCUCUGCAGCUGCCCCACACCUGGGGAUUCCCAAUGGAAAUGGCCUCGGAGGGGCUGGUGAGGGAAAUGCAACCAGAUCCUGGGCAUGAGAAUCAUGGAAUGGUUUGGGCUGGAAAAGCCCCCUGAGCCCAUCAGGCCAAGCUGUCCCCAGCUGUCCCCAGCACUGCCAAGGCCACCACUGACCACGUCCCCAAGUGCCACAUGCACACGGCUGUUAAAUCCCUCCAGGAAUGGGGACUCCCCCCCUUCCCUGAGCAGCCGUGCCAGGGCUGCAGCCCUUUCCAAGAAGGAAUUUUCCUAAUAUUCCACCCAAACCUCCCCUGGCACAGCCUGAGGCCGUUCCCCCUCCUUUCCAUGUUCUCUGGGAGCAGAGCCCGACCCCCCUGGCUGCCCCCUCCUGUCAGGGACAUCUUGGGAAUGAGGUCUCUCCCCCCUCCAAGCCUCCUUUUCUCCAGGGUGAGUGCCCCCAGCUCCCUCAGCCUCCCCUGCUGCUCCAGACCCUUUCCAGUUCCAUUCCUGUCUCUGGACAUGCUCCAGCCCUUCAAUGUCCUUCUUUUCCCGAGGGAGAGGCACAAAGCUGCCCCAGGACUGGAGGUGCCUCAGCAAUCCCAGCACAGGGGGCUGUGCCCUGGGCCUGUAGCCACGCUGUGGCUGGAACAAGCUGGGGGCUGUUGCCCACCUGGGCACACCUGGACGCUCUGGCAGGGCUGUUGUGGAGCAUCCAGCUCCGGGCAGGCAGAGCCUGGGGCUCUGGGUGUGGGUGUGGAGCCCUGUGGGUCCCAUGGCCUCGGGACAGUAGUCACGGGCAGGGCUCAAGCCCAUGCUGCCUGCACUGCCCGGGCCCUGCUCCCUCUCAGAAUUCCCAGCUGGAGCCCUGGGAACAGCCAGGGGCAGGCAGAUACUGCAGGAGGUCACACUCCCCACAAGAGCGUGGAGGCCACCAGGAUGGAGCCGUUUCUCCUGUCUUUGGUGAUUUGGUGGCUGGGACAAGCAGAGGAGGAUGCACCGUGUGACUCCUGCCUGGAAAGGAACAGCAGGGCAGGUACUGCUGUGUGUCCCCCAGCAACAGAAAUCCACGGAUGGGGCACUGAGGAUGAGGAGGUGAUGCUGGACAGGGGUGAUGGGCAGUGGGAACACAGGAGAUGGUCACUGCUGGGGGAACACCCGUCUGAACAAGCUGAAGAUCCCCACACCAGGAAUGCUGCACUUCAAGUGACCAACCUCGGACAAGGAGAUCCAGGGCCCAGCCAGCUACUGCUGCUGGCUGGGAUUUAUGUGCCUCAAAGGACCUUCAGGACUCCCGUAGGAGCUGCUGGGCUGGGCCAGGCCAUGGACAUGGGAACCUCCAGCCAUGGAUGUGUCCCCCAUGUGGGUGACAAGGCGUGGGAGAUCCCCAGAGAGCCUUGGAAGACCAAACCUUCCCCACGGAAAGCUGGAAGCAGCUCCCCAGCUCAGACCUGAGCCCACCGUGUCCCUGCAUCCCUGCACCCCAUUUCCACCAGUGCAUCCCGAGAGGAACAGCACAAGGGCUUGAGCAGGGGCCAGGCUGUGUUCCAUCAGCUCCUGGCAAUCCCCAGCACGGAGCCUCUGGAGCCAGAAGCUGCAUCUGUAUCUCUGGUUAAUAGCCCUCAAUCAAUUUCUCUCCCACAAAUUUGCCUAAUGGCUUUUUAAAAUCCCUUUAAAAUCAACUUGGGCUGCUGCAAACAUCCUCUGGCAACGAAUUCCGCCACGUAUCACACCAAACACUCACCCCAAGGAACAGUCAAAGAUUUCCCUCCUCCGGGUGUGUUCCAUUGGGCUUCCCAGCUGUCACCCGGUGUGGAAAGAGCAGGCAGGGCAGGUGUGCUCUGCUGUGUGCUCCCCAGCACACCAGGGGGGAGCUGGAGAAGGAGGGGAGGUGGGGAUGGUGAGGAGCCUCCCCCCGUGCCCUCCCCACGUCCCCAGCCGGGGUGCUCUCCCAGCUGAGUAACUGGUUUCACAUGAAAGCUCGUCCACACCUCUGCCACCCCUCCCUGUGCCACCAGAGCCAGCACUGUAGCCCAACCACCCAGAAACUCCAGCGGCAUCAGCAAGCUCUGCCAAGCCAUUGUUCAUCGCUUUUCAGGGGUGCUGGAGGUGAUGAAAGGCAGUUCCACGAUGCAGCCACGCCAGGAGGCGGUCACAGGAGCGCCGUGGGGAGCUGGAGUCGGCCGAGGCUGGGAGGUGGUCACAGAGCGCUGCAGGGGCUGUGGAGAUGGGAAAGGUGCCUGGGUGUGGCGUGCGGUUUGUGUUUGGUUGCAAUAUUUUUAUCCCUUGUCCUUGAACUUAUUCCCAGACUUCACUGUGAUAAGAGCCAGGGGUUGACUUCCCUUCCAGCCCUGCCUGGCACGCAUGGGACAAGGUCACCCGCCGUGGGAGCUCGUGGCACCUGGCACGGGCACAGGGUGCGAUGGUGUGACGGGGCUGGAUGGGUGCCGGGAGGUGGCCGUGGCCCAGGGGGUGAUGAUGGGGGAGCUUUGGCCAGGCCAGCUCGGGGUCACCCUGGCAGGGGGGACUUACCCAGGUGGGCUCAGACACGGGGCUGCAGCUGGAGGCACCAUCUCCCCUGGUGCCGCAGUCAGAGCAGCCCAGGGGGUGGCCCAGCGGGACCUGGUGGUGGCCCACGCCAGGAAACAGCUCCUGUUGCCUUCCCCUGUGCCGGGCCGGGAUGUUGUGCGCCAUACCUGGUGUGCACUUCCCGUGUCACCUCGCCCAGAGCCGCCCUCGCCGUGGUCCUCUCGGUUAACCGCGGCGCCCAGAGCAGCCGCAGCCCGGAGGGGGAGGACGAGCCCAAACCCCGCCAGGCGCCAGUAGAGCACGGAAGAAGGGUGGGACAACGAACGGUCGGGCUAAAAGUAACUGGAGACGGCCAGAAAAAGAAAAAAAAAAAAAAA
This 6331-nucleotide long non-coding RNA is filed under the name Taeniopygia guttata (zebra finch). RNAcentral describes it as "lncRNA (ENSTGUG00000019011.1)". Lineage: Eukaryota; Metazoa; Chordata; Aves; Passeriformes; Estrildidae. The record is from RNAcentral.